UUUUCAUCAGACAAUCUGUGUGAGCACUGCAAAGUACGCUUCUUUAAGGUAAGGAGGUGAUCCAACCGCAGGUUCCCCUACGGUUACCUUGUUACGACUUCACCCCAGUCAUGAAUCACAAAGUGGUAAGCGCCCUCCCGAAGGUUAAGCUACCUACUUCUUUUGCAACCCACUCCCAUGGUGUGACGGGCGGUGUGUACAAGGCCCGGGAACGUAUUCACCGUGGCAUUCUGAUCCACGAUUACUAGCGAUUCCGACUUCAUGGAGUCGAGUUGCAGACUCCAAUCCGGACUACGACGCACUUUAUGAGGUCCGCUUGCUCUCGCGAGGUCGCUUCUCUUUGUAUGCGCCAUUGUAGCACGUGUGUAGCCCUGGUCGUAAGGGCCAUGAUGACUUGACGUCAUCCCCACCUUCCUCCAGUUUAUCACUGGCAGUCUCCUUUGAGUUCCCGGCCGGACCGCUGGCAACAAAGGAUAAGGGUUGCGCUCGUUGCGGGACUUAACCCAACAUUUCACAACACGAGCUGACGACAGCCAUGCAGCACCUGUCUCACGGUUCCCGAAGGCACAUUCUCAUCUCUGAAAACUUCCGUGGAUGUCAAGACCAGGUAAGGUUCUUCGCGUUGCAUCGAAUUAAACCACAUGCUCCACCGCUUGUGCGGGCCCCCGUCAAUUCAUUUGAGUUUUAACCUUGCGGCCGUACUCCCCAGGCGGUCUACUUAACGCGUUAGCUCCGGAAGCCACGCCUCAAGGGCACAACCUCCAAGUAGACAUCGUUUACGGCGUGGACUACCAGGGUAUCUAAUCCUGUUUGCUCCCCACGCUUUCGCACCUGAGCGUCAGUCUUUGUCCAGGGGGCCGCCUUCGCCACCGGUAUUCCUCCAGAUCUCUACGCAUUUCACCGCUACACCUGGAAUUCUNNNNNNNNNNNNNNNNNNNNCCUGGAAUUCUACCCCCCUCUACAAGACUCAAGCCUGCCAGUUUCGAAUGCAGUUCCCAGGUUGAGCCCGGGGAUUUCACAUCCGACUUGACAGACCGCCUGCGUGCGCUUUACGCCCAGUAAUUCCGAUUAACGCUUGCACCCUCCGUAUUACCGCGGCUGCUGGCACGGAGUUAGCCGGUGCUUCUUCUGCGGGUAACGUCAAUUGCUGCGGUUAUUAACCACAACACCUUCCUCCCCGCUGAAAGUACUUUACAACCCGAAGGCCUUCUUCAUACACGCGGCAUGGCUGCAUCAGGCUUGCGCCCAUUGUGCAAUAUUCCCCACUGCUGCCUCCCGUAGGAGUCUGGACCGUGUCUCAGUUCCAGUGUGGCUGGUCAUCCUCUCAGACCAGCUAGGGAUCGUCGCCUUGGUGAGCCGUUACCUCACCAACAAGCUAAUCCCAUCUGGGCACAUCUGAUGGCAAGAGGCCCGAAGGUCCCCCUCUUUGGUCUUGCGACGUUAUGCGGUAUUAGCCACCGUUUCCAGUAGUUAUCCCCCUCCAUCAGGCAGUUUCCCAGACAUUACUCACCCGUCCGCCACUCGUCAGCAAAGCAGCAAGCUGCUUCCUGUUACCGUUCGACUUGCAUGUGUUAGGCCUGCCGCCAGCGUUCAAUCUGAGCCAUGAUCAAACUCUUCAAUUUAAAAGUUUGAUGCUCAAUGAAUUAAACUUCGUAAUGAAUUACGUGUUC
This 1670-nucleotide ribosomal RNA is filed under the name Salmonella enterica subsp. enterica serovar Paratyphi A. Its description in RNAcentral is "16S ribosomal RNA". The record is from RNAcentral. Lineage: Bacteria; Pseudomonadati; Pseudomonadota; Gammaproteobacteria; Enterobacterales; Enterobacteriaceae.